This is an RNA transcript of Liolophura sinensis, 3054 nucleotides long. It is a transcript of the gene named glutamine--fructose-6-phosphate aminotransferase [isomerizing] 1-like, with no coding region annotated. The record is from RefSeq and is a predicted model, not a curated record. NCBI's taxonomy places the organism in Eukaryota, Metazoa, Mollusca, Polyplacophora, Chitonida, Chitonidae. The transcript has 20 exons.
AGGAAGCUUGUCGUGCUGAUAUUUUGGGUGGAGGAUUGUUGAAAGCCGCUAUCGAUUUUGGCAAGAUGUGCGGUAUAUUUGCAUAUCUGAAUCAUUUGGUACCAGCAACAAGGAAGGAAAUUCUGGAAAUUCUCUUCAGUGGCGUGAGAAAGCUCGAAUACAGAGGUUAUGAUUCUUUUGGAAUUGGGGUGGAUAUAGGACAAGACACUGAUGAAACAUAUUCCAUUAAAGUGGUCAAGAACAAAGGCAAAGUGUCACUGAUAAAGGAACAGAUAUCAUUGCACGAGGACCUAAAUCUAGACAUGACCUACGAUGUUCACUGCGGAAUUGCUCACACCCGAUGGGCCACACACGGAGCACCUUCCAUGGUCAACAGUCACCCACAACGAUCGGACCCAACCCACGAGUUUAUUGUCGUACACAAUGGAAUCAUCACCAACUUCAAAGUCAUUAAGCUGUUCUUGGAAGCGAGAGACUUUGUGUUUGAGUCUGAAACCGACACAGAGGUCAUCCCAAAGCUCAUCAAGCACCUGUAUGACAACAACAAAGACAAGAACUUUAGAGAGUUGGUGGAGAUGACCGUCAUGCAACUGGAAGGGGCCUUUGCUUUGGUGUUCAAAAGUCGGCAUUUUCCCGGUGAAUGUGUGGCCACAAGACGUGGCAGUCCUAUGUUAGUCGGUGUUAAAACUUCUACCAAAUUUACAGCUGACCACAUUCCAGUAUUCUUCAGGAAAGAUGGACAGGGCAAGCCUGUCUCCAGACAAGACAGUUUCAUGGAAUUUCACCCAAUGGGCCCAAACAGACAGGUGGAGUACUUCAUUUCUUCGGAUCCAAGUGCUAUUAUUGAAUACACAAACCGUGUAAUAUACUUGGAAGAUGAUGAUGUGGCUGCCGUGUCAGAUGGUUGCUUAACGAUCCAUCGCCUGGAAAGUGGGCAGGCUGACAGCAGUGUCAGAGAGGUGACCACUUUGCAAGCAGAGAUACAGCAAACUCUCAAAGGCAAUUUCAGUUCAUUUCUUCAGAAGGAAAUUUUUGAACAGCCAGAGUCAGUGAUCAACACCUUGAGAGGGCGUGUGGACUUCAAAAAGAACAAAGUGAUCCUGGGUGGCCUGACAGACUACAUGCGGGACAUCCGAAGAUGCCGGCGACUUAUUUUCAUUGGCUGUGGGACAAGCUAUCACAGUGCUAUGGCAUCUCGUCAGCUGAUGGAGGAAAUGACAGAACUGCCUGUGGUGGUGGAGAUGGCCAGCAAUUUCCUAGACAGAAGCGUGCCUGUCUUCAGAGAUGACGUUUGCUUCUUUCUCAGUCAGUCAGGUGAGACUGCAGACACGUUACUGGCCCUAAGAUACUGUCGGAAACGUGGCGCUAUUAUUGUUGGUGUCACAAACAUAGUGGGCAGCAGCAUAUCAAAGGAGUCGCACUGUGGAAUACAUAUCAAUGCUGGACCUGAGAUAGGGGUAGUCAGUACAAAGGCAUUCACCAGUCAGUUCAUAGCCUUAGUGCUGUUUGCCUUACUCAUGAGUGAAGACAGAUUAUCUAUGCAGCCUAGAAGAGCAGAGAUUAUCACUGCUCUGAAGCAGCUAUCAGAUCAAAUAAAAGAAGUGCUUAAGGUGGAUGAACACAUUCAUUCCUUGGCUGAGGAACUUUAUCAACAAAGAAGUGUUCUGGUCAUGGGCAGAGGUUAUAACUACUCUACCUGUCUGGAAGGAGCACAGAAAAUCAAGGAGUUGACAUACAUGCAUUCUGAAGGAAUUAUGGCUGGAGAACUGAAACAUGGUCCGUUAGCCCUGAUAGACAAAGCCAUGCCUGUCAUUAUGAUUGUCACCAGAGAUCACGUCUAUUCUAAAUGCAUGAAUGCUCUACAACAAGUCACAGCAAGACAUGGCCGCCCAAUCCUGAUUUGUUGCCAAGGUGAUGAGGAGACCAAGAAAUUCGGCCACAAGUUUCUGGAGGUGCCUCACACUGUGGACUGCUUACAGAGUAUACUUACCACAAUUCCCCUGCAGCUGCUAGCCUUCCACAUUGCUGUCCUUAAAGGAUAUGAUACUGACCAGCCUCGGCAUCUUCUCAAAACGUACACCAUUAAAGACGAUUAGACGCCUCCUCAAAAUGUACACGAAGGCCGAUCAGAUGCAUUUCCUCAUAAAGUAUGCUUAGAUGCAUUUCCUCAUCGAAGAUAAUUAAAUGCAUCUCCUAAUCAGAGACAGUCCAGUGCAUCUCCUCAUCAGAGAGAGUCCGGUGCAUCUCCUCAUCAGAGACAGUCCGGUGCAUCUCCUCAUCAGAGACAGUCCGGUGCAUCUCCUCAUCAGAGACAAUUAUAUGCAUAUUCUCAUCAGAGACAUUUACCACAUACUGCUCAAUUCAAUUCAGGUACUUAUCAGUGUUUUAAGUGGGCGUUGUCCGCAGAGCGUCUACCUAAAGGCUUGUUACCUCUGAAUGGAAUACCACCUCAACUACCCCAGACCGGCCCGGAUAGCACAGUUGGUAGAGCGUCUGCUUCGGGACCGGUAGAUCCAGGAUCAAUCCUUGGUUGAGUCACACCUAAGACUUUAAAAGUUGUAACUUCCUCGCUUGGCGUUCAGCAUGAAGGGGAUAGUGCAAUGACUGGUUGACCCGUAUCAGUAUAAUGGCUCGGGCGGGGCGGCUUACUUGCCUUCGGUAAGUCGUCUCAGUGAUGCAGCACUAAAUAAAAGAGCGGUGGAAAUCCGUCCUGCAACAAGGAGGCACAUUACACGUGCAUGCACCCUAAUGAUUCCUUCGUCGUCAUAUGACUGAAAAAUUGUUGAGUACGACGUUAAACCCCAAGCACUCACUCACUCAACUACCCCAGACUGAAGGUAGACUGAAGAUGUAAUAUGAUAUUAAACUGUCUUUUCUGGAAUCCAAACAAAACAAAGCAGGGCUAUGCGUUAACCUGAAUUAUGGGGAGAUAACAGUAAGGAGACAGGGGCAUGUAAUUACCUCUAUUGUAGAAAGACCAUAUAUUUUAGAGGGGUUGGGGGUGGAUAACAGGUGUAUGCAAUAACCUAACUUGUAGAGAGAACAUAGGGAGGG